UUUUAGCCCCGAUUGAAGCGGCAUCCUUUUUUAUACUACCAAAAUAGACUAAUAGUUUAAAUUUUUAAACAACCAUUAUAAAACAGCAAGAACGCUAGUUAUUAUAAUGAAUAAAAAAGAUAUAGCGGAAAGCGGGAAAUAGC
RNAcentral lists this small RNA (143 nucleotides) under Hyunsoonleella jejuensis. RNAcentral's name for it is "Flavo-1 RNA". It matches the Rfam family "Flavo-1 RNA". Lineage: Bacteria; Pseudomonadati; Bacteroidota; Flavobacteriia; Flavobacteriales; Flavobacteriaceae. The record is from Rfam by way of RNAcentral.